Molecule: long non-coding RNA, 384 nt
Organism: Mya arenaria
Lineage: Eukaryota; Metazoa; Mollusca; Bivalvia; Myida; Myidae
Exons: 3
Source: RefSeq, a predicted model, not a curated record
CAAGUGCGGCCUUGGGGAAGAGAUCACUAUUGGAAUUACUCAGAAUGUCAAGAUGCGUUUUGAGUGGAAAGAUGGAAAGCUUGUUCAGCAUAUGCAUCCGACCACGAUGAAGAAGGGUACAAUUGAAUACUCCCUCAAUGACAAAAGCCAACUAUUGAAGGUAUACAAGUACAGCCCAGAAAAUGGUGGCAGUGAUGUGACAGCUACUAUCAAGUUUGAAAAGGCCAAAUGAACAGACAUUCAACCAUACAAUGUGUUUGUGUUCAAUGUAACAGGUCAUUAACUCACAGGUGGAUAUGAGAAUGACUUUAUUGCUUGAACUAUUGUAACAUCAAACUACUGUUUGCAAAUGAACUCAGCACUUUAAGGUUUAGAAGCAUAGAA